RNAcentral lists this ribosomal RNA (247 nucleotides) under uncultured bacterium. Its description in RNAcentral is "partial 16S ribosomal RNA". It matches the Rfam family "Bacterial small subunit ribosomal RNA", at positions 523 to 769 of the family's 1533-position model. The record is from RNAcentral.
AUACGGAGGAUGCGAGCGUUAUCCGGAUUUAUUGGGUUUAAAGGGUGCGUAGGCGGCUUUGUAAGUCAGCGGUGAAAUUUUGCAGCUUAACUGUAAAAGCGCCGUUGAUACUGUGAAGCUAGGAUUUGGUUGCUGUGGGCGGAAUGUGUGGUGUAGCGGUGAAAUGCAUAGAGAUCACACAGAAUAUCGAUUGCGAAGGCAGCUCACAAAGCCAAUAUUGACGCUGAGGCACGAAAGUGUGGGGAUC